ACAUACCAUUGACAGGCGCAGGAGAUGUGCUCUCCUUCGGGCAAUGGAUACAGGUGGUGCAUGGUUGUCGUCAGCUCGUGCCGUGAGGUGUUGGGUUAAGUCCCGCAACGAGCGCAACCCUCAUUGUUAGUUACUACCAUUCAGUUGAGGACUCUAAUGAGACCGCCAACGAUAAGUUGGAGGAAGGUGGGGAUGACGUCAAAUCAUCAUGCCCUUUAUGACCUGGGCUACAAACGUACUACAAUGGCCAAUACAAAGAGAUGCGAAGCGGUGACGUGGAGCGAACCUCAGAAAGUUGGUCUCAGUUCAGAUUGAAGUCUGCAACUCGACUUCAUGAAGGCGGAAUCGCUAGUAAUCGCGGGUCAGCAGACCGCGGUGAAUACGUUCCCGGGUUUU
Molecule: ribosomal RNA, 396 nt
Filed under: uncultured Mollicutes bacterium
Lineage: Bacteria; Bacillati; Mycoplasmatota; Mollicutes
Description: bacterial SSU rRNA
Rfam family: Bacterial small subunit ribosomal RNA
Source: RNAcentral